CGGAGGAUUGAGAAAGUUUGGCAGCCCGAUCAGUGUUGUCACAACUGGUUAUCCCCUCCCAGAGGAAUCUGGCAAAUGACUCCUUUUAACAGUCUACUGUACUACUGUAGGUUGUAUGCGGUGAUUUGCCAACACGUG
This is a small nucleolar RNA of Engraulis encrasicolus (European anchovy), 138 nucleotides long. RefSeq annotates it as small nucleolar RNA SNORA47. The transcript has a single exon. The record is from RefSeq and is a predicted model, not a curated record. Lineage: Eukaryota; Metazoa; Chordata; Actinopteri; Clupeiformes; Engraulidae.